Molecule: signal recognition particle RNA, 300 nt
Filed under: Prolemur simus (greater bamboo lemur)
Lineage: Eukaryota; Metazoa; Chordata; Mammalia; Primates; Lemuridae
Description: Metazoan signal recognition particle RNA (ENSPSMG00000024823.1)
Rfam family: Metazoan signal recognition particle RNA
About the family: The signal recognition particle (SRP) is a universally conserved ribonucleoprotein. It is involved in the co-translational targeting of proteins to membranes.
Source: Rfam by way of RNAcentral
GCUAGACGAAGUAGCAUGUGCCUAUGGUCCCAGCUACUUGGGAACCUGAGGUCAGAGGAUUGCUUGAGCCCAGGAGUUCUAGGUUGUGGUACACUAUGCUGAUUGGGUGUCCCCACUAAGUUCGGCAUCAAUAUAGUGACCUCCAGGGAGCUGGAAACCACCAGGUUGCCUAAAGAGAGGUGAACCAGCCCAGGUUGGAAACAGAGCAGGUCAAAACUCCCAGGCUGACCAGUAGUGCGGUCGUGCUUGUGAAUAGCCACUGCACUCCAGCCUAGGCAACAUAGUGAGACCCCCAUCUCA